UACGGAGGGAGUUAGCGUUGUUCGGAAUUACUGGGCGUAAAGCGCACGUAGGCGGCUUUGUAAGUUAGAGGUGAAAGCCCGGGGCUCAACCCCGGAAUUGCCUUUAAGACUGCAUCGCUUGAAUCCGGGAGAGGUGAGUGGAAUUCCGAGUGUAGAGGUGAAAUUCGUAGAUAUUCGGAAGAACACCAGUGGCGAAGGCGGCACACUGGCCCAUUACUGACGCUGAGGCUCGAAAGCGUGGGGAGCAAACAGG
RNAcentral lists this ribosomal RNA (253 nucleotides) under uncultured bacterium. RNAcentral describes it as "partial 16S ribosomal RNA". It matches the Rfam family "Bacterial small subunit ribosomal RNA", at positions 524 to 776 of the family's 1533-position model. The record is from RNAcentral.